Non-coding RNA from Hydnum rufescens UP504, 94 nucleotides. The record is from the annotation of a GenBank genome assembly. Lineage: Eukaryota; Fungi; Basidiomycota; Agaricomycetes; Cantharellales; Hydnaceae.
GGCAAGGUGGCCGAGCGGUUAAGGCGCUACGUUCAGGUGGUUAUGAUAUCGUAGUCUCAGUAAUGGGGCGUGGGUUCAAGUCCCACCCUUGUCA